UCUCUUUUUCUAUCAUCCAUAUUCUCCUAACAACUUUCGAUAAUUUUCCGGUAUACACACACAAGUGUUGUAGGAUUCCAUGAUCAUAUAAGCGUAAAUUAUUAUCUCAAUUUUGUGAUCAUCGCUUAAGGUACGGAUAGAAUCCCUUCCUUCAAUACAUGUCAUUUGGCCUUCGGGCAACUGAUUCCUGAUUUUUAAAUUAUGCAAUAAGUUUAUAUUAUAAAAAUGCUACAAGUUUAUAAAGUUUCUGUGUUUAUAAAUGUACAAGUUUAAGAUUAUGUACAUGUAUUAUACCCAUCAUUGUGGCAUAAAAUGAUGUGGCACCAUCCGUGACGGUGAGUUGAGUUCACGGCGUCUCUUCUGUUUCAGUCUACGGACUUCUGUUCAGAGGCGUAUGGAUCGAUCCUAGGAAAAAGUAAAUAAAGUCUGAUAUCUGGUGAAUGGUUGGUGUGAUUUGCCCACACUCCAUUCAUGUCUGGAUACAUGGGCUAGCUACCCUGUAUCAACCUCUGUAAUAAAAUGAACCUUCUGGGCUUCGGGUAAAUCUCUAUAUCAUAUUCUGAUAAUAUUUGUUAUACUUAUUUAAUAUAUUUUGAAUUAUGGAAACUUAAGUUUUUGCUAAAACAAAGGAUUUUUGAAGAAUUUAGCCAUUUUCUCACAUAAAAUAAGCGUUUUUGCUUUCCUCUAUCCGCACACCGGGCAAAACUUUCAAAUUUUGCUCAGACGUACGUUUUUGUGUUUUCCUUCUUUACGUCAGGUGAUCAAGAUUUCUGGGACAGGAUAAGGAAGAGUGUUCGAGUGUUUGGAAAAGACCGUAGAAAUAAAUGUACUGGAUUAGAUAUCCUAUUUCCAUCAAGUUGUAAAGCCUUAAUUAUUAAUGGAAUUAUGUUUUUGAUCUGACUCUGUAAAAGUGACACGUCAGCCCGUUUCGGGUUGGGGUGUUAUAGUUUUGGUAUCAGAGCAAAGGCUCUUUC
This 974-nucleotide long non-coding RNA is filed under the name Helianthus annuus (common sunflower). Its description in RNAcentral is "hypothetical non coding rna". Lineage: Eukaryota; Viridiplantae; Streptophyta; Magnoliopsida; Asterales; Asteraceae. The record is from RNAcentral.